Molecule: unclassified non-coding RNA, 253 nt
Filed under: uncultured Pirellulaceae bacterium
Lineage: Bacteria; Pseudomonadati; Planctomycetota; Planctomycetia; Pirellulales; Pirellulaceae
Description: contains 16S-23S intergenic spacer region
Rfam family: Bacterial small subunit ribosomal RNA
Source: RNAcentral
CACGAACCGGACGAACGUUAUUCGGAAUUACUGGGCUUAAAGGGUGCGUAGGCGGCUCUGCAGGUGGGGUGUGAAAUCCCUCGGCUCAACCGAGGAACUGCGCCCCAAACCGCAGAGCUUGAGGAAGGCAGAGGUGAGCGGAACUCAGGGUGGAGCGGUGAAAUGCGUUGAUAUCCUGGGGAACACCAGUGGCGAAGGCGGCUCACUGGGCCUUCUCUGACGCUGAGGCACGAAAGCCAGGGGAGCGAACGGG